AUGUCAAUUUUGAGUGUCAUUUAGUCAACUGUUUUGAGGGCGCAGUUCUUUUAUCAGUUGACAGAUGGCGCCAGAUAUCACCAUAUGAGAAAAUUGCAACGUGAUCCACAACUCGUUUUGGAAAGAAAUUGAUGACGUGCAUGCCAUGAGCAGCCAGUGAUGCAA
This is a long non-coding RNA of Patiria miniata (bat star), 165 nucleotides long. RefSeq lists it as uncharacterized. The transcript is spliced from 3 exons. NCBI's taxonomy places the organism in Eukaryota, Metazoa, Echinodermata, Asteroidea, Valvatida, Asterinidae. The record is from RefSeq and is a predicted model, not a curated record.